This is a long non-coding RNA of Folsomia candida, 224 nucleotides long. RefSeq lists it as uncharacterized. The record is from RefSeq and is a predicted model, not a curated record. The transcript is spliced from 2 exons. NCBI's taxonomy places the organism in Eukaryota, Metazoa, Arthropoda, Collembola, Entomobryomorpha, Isotomidae.
GCAAAUUGAUUUAUUUUGCGGGAUAAUUAGAAGCAGGAUAAUUUCAGAAAUUCGAUUUUUUUUCUGUAACCACAAUGACCAUGUUUCAGUGCUGAAACGCACCUGUUUGACCGACUUUUUUGUCUAUUAUGUUUCCUGUACCUGAUAAAUCGAUAGCACCAAUCCCAGCAAGUACUUAAUUUUGACAUCUCUGAGGGAAAUUGAGAUGACUUGGAGGAAUAAAU